Molecule: long non-coding RNA, 1018 nt
Organism: Drosophila montana
Lineage: Eukaryota; Metazoa; Arthropoda; Insecta; Diptera; Drosophilidae
Exons: 3
Source: RefSeq, a predicted model, not a curated record
UCUAAAUCAAAAUUUAGAGUAGUAACAGGCUUACAAAAUAUUUUUUGAGCAACAUUUGUACUUAUUGUUUUGCUUAUAUAUUUGCUUUUCAUCUUAUUUAAACUAAAGCUAAUCAAUUGGAAGCCAGCGGGAGUCCACUUGUGUUGAUCAGUUCUAUCUUCAAUUCAAUGAAACCCAUCGUGGAAAGUAUUCCCCCAGUAGGUUCGAGUUGAAAAAAAGGAGCCCGAAAUGAAAUCCAGCCAAAAAACAACGCAACUUGUGCGCACUUCCUCUGCAGAUUCGCAGGGGUUGUGGAAACGGGAGCAUAAUGUACGCAUGGAUUAACCAAUUACAUUGCAAUUUUAAUUUGCAGGCGGGCGAAAUUUUAUUGCGAAAUUGCUGGGAGCAAAAAUGAAAUCAGCGCCGCGGCGAAUAUGGAAUGCAUUGAUAAGGAAAUCCUGAGCGAGGCCCUGUAAUGGCAGCGAAUGUAACCGGUGCCACAAAACGGGGCACAACAGAGAGUGAAUGAGAAUAGCAGCGGGCAGUCGCUUCGGAGGAGCGGGAGCUCCCCACCAGCUCGUCUCCAUCUGGCUUCGAUUGAUGCGGACGAAGGGAAGUGGCGGCCAUAAAAACAAGCACCAAUGCCGCAGCCAGCAGUUCCAUAGCCAGUGCUGUAAAUGUUUGUCCAUUCAUCCAUUCAUCCAUUCAUCCAUUUGUCCAACUGUUCAGCUGUCCGGCACUAUCUGCCACAGUGCGACAGUGUCAAGCAUAAAUCCUCAUCAUAAUUCAAAGCAUUGAUCAUCGCUGCAACCCGCACAGUCCGCAAGCCCCGCACCCGCCGCAAAAAAAAAUGACAAAUUGUUUGGCGCUCGAUUGGCGCAGGAAUUGGACGCCACAUCGACGUCGCCGGAUUGGAGCUGGUGCAGCCGCAUGUGGCGCCUGCGAUUUGCACGUGCAUCGCCUACUGCUGGCCACUUGCAACGUGCCACGUUGUGUGUGUGUGUGUUGUUGCAGGCAGCACAAUAAAAUACUCGUAAAA